GAUGAACGCUGACAGAAUGCUUAACACAUGCAAGUCUUUGGCGAAGCUGUUCUUGCACUGCCUAGCCACGUCGGACGGGUGAGUAACGCGUAAGGAACUUCCCCUUCUGUCAUUUAUAACAGACGCAAACGACUGAUAAUACCUGGUUAAGUCAGGCGCACUCAUGUUCAGCCUGAUGAAAAGUGAUGCGGCACGAGAGUCUUGCGUCCUAUUAUCUUGUUGGUGGGUUAACGGCACACCAAGCCGAUGAUCGGUAGCCGGCCGGAGAGGGUGGACGGCCAAAAGGGGAAUGAGAGACGGCACUGAGGACUACGGGAGGAAGGAGUGGGGAAUAGUGGACAAAGGGGGCAACCGUGAUGAAGGAAUUCUGUGUGCAAGAUGAAGGUUUUCGGAUUGUAAAGUGCUUUCAGAAGGGAAGAAAAAAAUGACGGUACCUGAAGAAGAAGCGACGGCUAAAUACGUG
Molecule: ribosomal RNA, 463 nt
Filed under: uncultured bacterium
Lineage: Bacteria
Description: partial 16S ribosomal RNA
Rfam family: Bacterial small subunit ribosomal RNA
Source: RNAcentral